UCACCCAUCCUAAAACUACUCUCAUUCUAGGAUACUUAACUCUCUUAACUUCUUGGGCAUAGUCACCACCCAAAAUAUUUAAACCAGGUUAAGAGUUUAGCCUUAUUAUAUCUUAUAGGCUAAAUUACACAAAAUCCCCCUGUUAAAACCCGAUUUUUUACUUUCCCCCCUGUCAUUUAAAAACCUACAUUUUGCCCCCUUAUAAAAUAAAAAUUAUUCACAGGAGGAUACAGUGUGAACUGUGAUGAUAAAAUGAUCAUUUUGCCCCUCACCAUUUUACCCCUCACCAUAUUCACGGAAGAGAAGGCUGAGAGCAUUUUUGGCAUAAAAAAAUAUAUAAUAAUAUUUUAUAAAUAGAACCCUAAUGGAUUACUAACUGCAGGGGGCGAACUGAACAUUUUUCAUUUUACAAGGGGGCAAAAUAUAGGUUUUUAAAUGAUAGGAAAAAAAAGUGAAAAUUCGGAUUUUGACAGGGAGGUUUUAUGUAAUUUAGUCUAUCUUAUAUAUAGAACUAUAUGGAGUCUCACAAUCUCCCCCCUUUUAAGUUCUGACGUCCUCGUCAGAACUCAGACUCACAAGUAUCAGGCGAUGUAAGACUCGUCUCGCUAGCCUUGUCAUUCCGACCCGACUCAGCCGAAACUCAUCUAACACUUCCGACUAGUAAUUGGCUCUGAUACCAACUGUAACGCCCCAACUUUCUAAGGGCCACCCAUUCAUAUAGGACUACUCUUGUCCUAGCAUGCUUAGCUCUCUUAAUCUCUUGGGCCUAGCCACCACACAAAAUGCUUAAGCCGAGUUAAGAGUUUAGCCCUAUUAUAUCUUAUAUAUAGGACUACCUAUUACCUGGGGUCUCACAUCCAAAGUACUAGCAGUAGCAGUAGUAAUAGUAAUAAUAAUCUAUCUAACUACAUUAAAGGAUGGUUUGGGGGGACCACAGGGUGACACGUGUCCCCGCAAACCCCCCAUUCUCUCUCCCUCUAUAUAUAUAUAUAUAUAUAUAUAUAUAUAUAUAUAUAUAUAUAUANAAAGGAGCAAAACGAAAAUACCAAAAGAGUGAAGGACUUUAGCGUAAAAGUAUUUUCAGGGAUUAUUUUUAAUUUUAGGAGAAUUUUAUUCGGAGCAGAAGUGCUUGUGGCGCGUUUUUUAGGUUUUUUUUUUUUUCCUUUUUUAUUGUUCAAAAUUUUCGUGUUCUUAAUUUUCUACUCUAACCCUUAGAAAUUAAUUCUAGGGAGUUUAGCCAUGUAUUUUCCCAGACACUUUUUUCUUUCUAUCUGGAAAAAUCCAAAACAAAAAAGAGUUCUAAAAAUUACAAUGGGGCUGUCCUGAAUUGUAAUUCUUUAAAAAAAAAACUGUCCUUAUUUGCGAUUUGAUAGAUCUGAUAUUUCUGGAGGUGUGGACCAGGUGCACGUAGAUCAUGUGUACAAGCAAACAAGAAGGCGAUUCCUGUUGUCCAUCGGAUGCACGUGAUGAUCAUUUGUAUCUAAUAAUUAAUCUCCCAUCCAAUUUUACAAAAGGUCGUUUGCGGUGCUGCUUACUACGAUCACCACCGUUUGAUCUCGGCCAAACCAAUCGAACGGCCCAGAACUCAAAAACACUGCUCCUGCAGGUACACAGAAGGUUACCGCACAGAGGAAAAAUUUUAGAAUGUAACGGGUAUAUUGGUGACGUGACGUAACAAAC
This 1680-nucleotide long non-coding RNA is filed under the name Ananas comosus (pineapple). Its description in RNAcentral is "long non-coding RNA (ACOM_LNC017284)". Lineage: Eukaryota; Viridiplantae; Streptophyta; Magnoliopsida; Poales; Bromeliaceae. The record is from RNAcentral.